UAGAGUGUAGAGGAGGCAGGUUGCCUAGUGGUUAGAGUGUAGAGGAGGCAGGUAGCCUAGUGGUUAGAGUGUAGAGGUGGCAGGGUAGCCUAGUGGUUAGAGUGUAGAGGAGGCAGGUAGCCUAGUGGUUAGAGUGUAGAGGCGGUAGGUAGCCUAGUGGUUAGAGUGUAGAGGAGGCAGGUAGCCUAGUGGUUAGAGUGUAGAGGUGGCAGGGUAGCCUAGUGGUUAGAGUGUAGAGGUGGCAGGGUAGCCUAGUGGUUAGAGUGUAGAGGAGGCAGGUAGCCUAGUGGUUAGAGUGUAGAGGUGGCAGGGUAGCCUAGUGGUUAGAGUGUAGAGGAGGCAGGGUAGCCUAGUGGUUAGAGUGUAGAGGAGGCAGGGUAGCCUAGUGGUUAGAGUGUAGAGGAGGCAGGUAGCCUAGUGGUUAGAGUGUAGAGGAGGCAGGUAGCCUAGUGGUUAGAGUGUAGGGGCGGCAUGUAGCCUAGUGGUUA
This is a long non-coding RNA of Oncorhynchus tshawytscha (Chinook salmon), 488 nucleotides long. The record is from Ensembl. NCBI's taxonomy places the organism in Eukaryota, Metazoa, Chordata, Actinopteri, Salmoniformes, Salmonidae.